Molecule: unclassified non-coding RNA, 263 nt
Filed under: plant metagenome
Description: partial contains small subunit ribosomal RNA, internal transcribed spacer 1, and 5.8S ribosomal RNA
Source: RNAcentral
UUUCAGUAGGUGAACCUGCGGAAGGAUCAUUAUUGUAUAACCGAGGUGCGAGGGCUGUCGCUGACCCGAAAGGUCGUGCACGCCCGAGUGCCCUCACACACAUCCAUCUCACCCCUAUGUGCACCACCGCGUGGGUCCCCCUUUGGCUUGUUCGGAGGGGGGCUUACGUUUUCACACAAACUUUGUAUGCAGUGUAGAAUGUAUUUUUUGUUUUUGCGAUCACGCAAUCAAUACAACUUUCAACAACGGAUCUCUUGGCUCUC